This 734-nucleotide long non-coding RNA is filed under the name Gallus gallus (chicken). The record is from RNAcentral. Lineage: Eukaryota; Metazoa; Chordata; Aves; Galliformes; Phasianidae.
UAGCUACUUGCUAAUCAAUACCUUUGAUUCAGCAUUGCACUGCAGUCUUCCUACUGUUCUCUGAUGGCUUGAAGUGAUGACACCGUGUGAUGACAAAAUCAUUUCAGCCUUCCUCAAUAGAUCUUCCUGCACCAUUUCUGCAACUCUCAUUUGCACAUAUGACCUCGUGCCAGGACACAGCAUCACAACCCUGCCCUGUCUUGAGUGUACACGGACAAGCCAUACCAGAGCUGGGCUCCAGUAACACCUACUGUGCAAUGCACCAAACCAUCGGCACUCUGUGGAGGAAAAAGAAAAAUGGGGAUCUUUCUCAGACUUCUUUUUUCUCUUUUCCAAACAUUUCUGAACUCUGUGUGACCUCCUUUACAACUGAAUCCAAGCACCUCUAAAUACAUAGCAAAGGUAGUCAGAAGAAAGCUGAGUAUCUCAUCACAAACUGAAAGAAGCUAAAAAAAAAAAAAAAAAAAGGAGUUGAAAUAAACAAAGCUGAAGGUGAAAAUUAACUGUCUUAGAGGAGAGCAAAUUGAAAUAAAAAAUGUGGAUUGGAAUAUUAAAAGUACUGUGGACUGUGCAAUCUGUCCACCAUUCUCUUCCUCUUUGCCGUCCGUCCCACUCCCUAAAAAGCAUUUAAGCUGCAGGGGGAUAAUAUCACACUUGGGAAUUAUGAAAUAAAACCAAUGAGAGCAGUGGGAGUAACGUCACUCCUGUAAAUGAUCAAAACCCACCAAUUACAG